Molecule: unclassified non-coding RNA, 336 nt
Filed under: soil metagenome
Description: partial contains 5.8S ribosomal RNA, internal transcribed spacer 2, and large subunit ribosomal RNA
Rfam family: 5.8S ribosomal RNA (bases 1-120)
Source: RNAcentral
GAUGAAGAACGCAGCGAAAUGCGAUAAGUAGUGUGAAUUGCAGAAUUCAGUGAAUCAUCGAAUCUUUGAACGCACAUUGCGCCCCUUGGUAUUCCAUGGGGCAUGCCUGUUCGAGCGUCAUUUGUACCUUCAAGCUCUGCUUGGUGUUGGGUGUUUGUCUCGCCUCUGCGUGUAGACUCGCCUCAAAAUAAUUGGCAGCCGGCGUAUUGAUUUCGGAGCGCAGUACAUCUCGCGCUUUGCACUCAUAACGACGACGUCCAAAAGUACAUUUUUACACUCUUGACCUCGGAUCAGGUGGGACUACCCGCUGAACUUAAGCAUAUCAAUAAGCGGAGA